This is a long non-coding RNA of Erigeron canadensis, 1011 nucleotides long. RefSeq lists it as uncharacterized. The record is from RefSeq and is a predicted model, not a curated record. The transcript is spliced from 3 exons. Lineage: Eukaryota; Viridiplantae; Streptophyta; Magnoliopsida; Asterales; Asteraceae.
CCUAUGAUGAAUAAAAGUUUUGCCUACAUUGUCUGAUUGAUUACUAUGAAGAGAACUUAAUUAAGAUUUCUGAGGCCGUUAUUAAUUUAUAUAGUUGAAUCUUGAAUGUGCAAAUAUUGAUAUUAUGUUACUCUGUCAAAAUUACCUUCUUUACUAUCUUCAAGAGGUCAUUGAUGAAAAUUUGCUUUCUCUUUUUGCUCCAGCAACAUUUCAUCUGUAGAAUAAAAUUUAAGGUAAUAGAAUGGGCAAGCCAUGUGGCUACUUUUAAUCAUUCCGAAUACACUUUAGAUGAGGCGAUUUCAAAUUCCUUUGACCCGUUCCCGUUAUAGAUAUUUUUUGUAUGUUUUGCCUUUCUGACCAGCUAGAGAAAUGAUAUGAUGCAAGCUGACCAAUCCACCCGUCGCCUCUUAUCGAGCAAGUUCUAUUCAAGCUUAAUGAUAGUUACAUCUGAAGAUUUGUGUGGUUUUGGAAGGUCUGCUGCUCAAAUCAAGGCUGGUUUCAUGGCUCGCAUUGGCCGUAGAAAGGCUGGAAUAUAGAACAUGAUAUAGCCAAAUACCCGUCGCAUGUCUUUUCUAUAACUAGCUAAUACCUACAAACGUACACGGGCAGCCGAGCGUGUUGUGCAUCAAAUCAAAGAAAUAGAGAUUGUAUAGAGCCGAAAGGGCAAAAGCUUUGUUCAUCUGGCUGUCCGAGACUGUAACCUAUGAUUUUUCGAUUGACAGUGGUACCGAAUACUAAUUUUAUUUUAUUUUUUUUUUUUUUUACGAUUAUUAAUUCUGCUGUAUAUGCUAUAAAAAUAUUUUCACACAAAUUUAAGUUGUUUUGCAUUAUGUAUUAGUUUUAAUAGUAUAAAAGUAAAUAAAGAGUAAUAAUAGUAAGUAUAUUUAAUGUUUAAUAGUAAGAUUUACAAGAAAAUCGGUUAUUUGACAUGGACAUCAUAACCCACACAACUAUAUUUUUGGACGGUCAGACUCUGAUGACCAACGAUGGUAUUUGAUGUGUUUAUUUAUU